This 502-nucleotide ribosomal RNA is filed under the name uncultured bacterium. RNAcentral describes it as "partial 16S ribosomal RNA". It matches the Rfam family "Bacterial small subunit ribosomal RNA", at positions 28 to 507 of the family's 1533-position model. The record is from RNAcentral.
GAUUAACGCUGGCGGCGUGCCUAACACAUGCAAGUCGAGCGGCAGCGAGUUUUACACUGAAUUCUGGAAGCUUCUAGUUGAAAGAGAAGAUUUAUUCAAGAAUUUUGUGUAAAAUGUCGGCGAGCGGCGGACGGCUGAGUAACGCGUGGGAACGUACCCCAAAGUGAGGGAUAACGCAUCGAAAGGUGUGCUAAUACCGCAUAUGGUCUUCGGAUUAAAGCCUUCGGGCGCUUUGGGAACGGCCUGCGUAAGAUUAGAUAGUUGGUGGGGUAAUGGCCUACCAAGUCGACGAUCUUUAACUGGUUUGAGAGGAUGAUCAGUCAGACUGGAACUGAGACACGGUCCAGACUCCUACGGGAGGCAGCAGUGAGGAAUCUUCCACAAUGGGCGAAAGCCUGAUGGAGCAACGCCGCGUGCAGGAUGAAGGCCUUCGGGUUGCAAACUGCUUUUAUAAGUGAGGAUUAUGACAGUAACUUAUGAAUAAGGAUCGGCUAACUACGUG